Molecule: ribosomal RNA, 497 nt
Filed under: uncultured bacterium
Lineage: Bacteria
Description: partial 16S ribosomal RNA
Rfam family: Bacterial small subunit ribosomal RNA
Source: RNAcentral
GAUGAACGCUGGCGGCGUGCCUAAUACAUGCAAGUCGAGCGAACAGACGAGGAGCUUGCUCCUCUGACGUUAGCGGCGGACGGGUGAGUAACACGUGGAUAACCUACCUAUAAGACUGGGAUAACUUCGGGAAACCGGAGCUAAUACCGGAUAAUAUAUUGAACCGCAUGGUUCAAUAGUGAAAGACGGUUUUGCGGUCACUUAUAGAUGGAUCCGCGCCGCAUUAGCUAGUUGGUAAGGUAACGGCUUACCAAGGCAACGAUGCGUAGCCGACCUGAGAGGGUGAUCGGCCACACUGGAACUGAGACACGGUCCAGACUCCUACGGGAGGCAGCAGUAGGGAAUCUGCCGCAAUGGGCGAAAGCCUGACGGAGCAACGCCGCGUGAGUGAUGAAGGUCUUCGGAUCGUAAAACUCUGUUAUUAGUGAAGAACAAAUGUGUAAGUAACUAUGCACGUCUUGACGGUACCUAAUCAGAAAGCCACGGCUAACUACGUG